GAUGAACGCUGGCGGCGUGCCUAAUACAUGCAAGUCGAGCGAACAGACGAGGAGCUUGCUCCUCUGACGUUAGCGGCGGACGGGUGAGUAACACGUGUAUAACCUACCUAUAAGACUGUGAUAACUUCGGGAAACCGGAGCGAAUACCGGAUAAUAUAUUGAACCGCAUGGUUCAAUAGUGAAAGACGGUGUUGCUGUCACUGAUAGAUGGAUCCGCGCCUCAUUAGCUAGUUGGUAAGGUAACGGCUUACCAAGGCAACGAUGCGUAGCCGACCUGAGAGGGUGAUCGGCCACACUGGAACUGAGACACGGUCCAGACUCCUACGGGAGGCAGCAGUAGGGAAUCUUCCGCAAUGGGCGAAAGCCUGACGGAGCAACGCCGCGUGAGUGAUGAAGGUCUUCGGAUCGUAAACCUCUGUUAUUAGGGAAGAAAAAAUGUGUAAGUAACUAUGCACGUAUUGACGGUACCGAAUCAGAAAGCCACGGCUAACUACGUG
RNAcentral lists this ribosomal RNA (497 nucleotides) under uncultured bacterium. RNAcentral's name for it is "partial 16S ribosomal RNA". It matches the Rfam family "Bacterial small subunit ribosomal RNA", at positions 28 to 507 of the family's 1533-position model. The record is from RNAcentral.